GACGAACGCUGGCGGCGUGCUUAACACAUGCAAGUCGAACGGUGACGCGCCUUCCUUUUUGGUGGGUGUGGAUGAGUGGCGAACGGGUGAGUAACACGUGCGUAACCUGCCCCCUUCUUCUGGAUAACCGCAUGAAAGUGUGGCUAAUACGGGAUAUUCUGUGUCUGUCGCAUGAUGGGUCUGGGAAAGAUAUUGUUUCGGUGGGGGAUGGGCUCGCGGCCUAUCAGCUUGUUGGUGGGGUGAUGGCCUACCAAGGCGAUGACGGGUGGCCGGGCUGGGAGGGUGGACGGCCAGACUGGGACGGCGACACGGCCCAGACUCCGACGGGAGGCAGCAGUGGGUAAUAGUGAACAAUGGGCGCAAGCCUGAUGCAGCGACGCGGCGUGAGGGAUGGAGGCCUGCGGGUUGUGAACCUCUUUCGGCAGUGAAGCGGGCCUGCCUCGUUUGUGGGUGGGUUGACGGUAGCUGGAUAAGAAGCGCCGGCUAACUACGUG
RNAcentral lists this ribosomal RNA (494 nucleotides) under uncultured bacterium. RNAcentral describes it as "partial 16S ribosomal RNA". It matches the Rfam family "Bacterial small subunit ribosomal RNA", at positions 28 to 507 of the family's 1533-position model. The record is from RNAcentral.